AGGCGACGACGGGUAGCCGGCCUGAGAGGGCGACCGGCCACACUGGGACUGAGACACGGCCCAGACUCCUACGGGAGGCAGCAGUGGGGAAUAUUGCACAAUGGGCGGAAGCCUGAUGCAGCGACGCCGCGUGGGGGAUGACGGCCUUCGGGUUGUAAACCCCUUUCGACCUUGACGAAGCGAAAGUGACGGUAGGGGGAGAAGAAGCGCCGGCCAACUACGUGCCAGCAGCCGCGGUAAGACGUAGGGCGCGAGCGUUGUCCGGAUUUAUUGGGCGUAAAGAGCUCGUAGGCGGCUCGUUGCGUCGGCUGUGAAAACCCGCGGCUUAACCGUGGGCUUGCAGCCGAUACGGGCGGGCUAGAAUUCGGUAGGGGAGACUGGAAUUCCUGGUGUAGCGGUGAAAUGCGCAGAUAUCAGGAGGAACACCGGUGGCGAAGGCGGGUCUCUGGGCCGAUAUUGACGCUGAGGAGCGAAAGCGUGGGGAGCGAACAGGAUUAGAUACCCUGGUAGUCCACGCUGUAAACGUUGGGCGCUAGGUGUGGGGGGCCUCUCCGGUUCUCUGUGCCGC
Molecule: ribosomal RNA, 568 nt
Filed under: uncultured bacterium
Lineage: Bacteria
Description: bacterial SSU rRNA
Rfam family: Bacterial small subunit ribosomal RNA
Source: RNAcentral